CCUACGGGAGGCAGCAGUAGGGAAUCUUCCACAAUGGACGAAAGUCUGAUGGAGCAACGCCGCGUGUGUGAUGAAGGGUUUCGGCUCGUAAAACACUGUUGUAAGAGAAGAAUGACAUUGAGAGUAACUGUUCAGUGUGUGACGGUAUCUUACCAGAAAGGAACGGCUAAAUACGUGCCAGCAGCCGCGGUAAUACGUAUGUUCCAAGCGUUAUCCGGAUUUAUUGGGCGUAAAGCGAGCGCAGACGGUUAUUUAAGUCCGAAGUGAAAGCCCACAGCUUAACUGUGGAAGUGCUUUGGAAACUGGAUAACUUGAGUGCAGUAGAGGAGAGUGGAACUCCAUGUGUAGCGGUGAAAUGCGUAGAUAUAUGGAAGAACACCAGUGGCGAAGGCGGCUCUCUGGACUGUAACUGACGUUGAGGCUC
RNAcentral lists this ribosomal RNA (424 nucleotides) under uncultured Gemmiger sp. RNAcentral describes it as "bacterial SSU rRNA". It matches the Rfam family "Bacterial small subunit ribosomal RNA", at positions 338 to 754 of the family's 1533-position model. The record is from RNAcentral. Lineage: Bacteria; Bacillati; Bacillota; Clostridia; Eubacteriales; Oscillospiraceae.